This 372-nucleotide long non-coding RNA is filed under the name Mytilus galloprovincialis (Mediterranean mussel). Lineage: Eukaryota; Metazoa; Mollusca; Bivalvia; Mytilida; Mytilidae. The record is from RNAcentral.
GUAAAACGCUUGCCGAAGUGGGGCGUCCGUUUGACUGUGCGGGAUGUAUUAAGUUCGCAGUCACGUCCGGUCAGAAGGGGGACGUUAAAUCCGAUGCCUCGUGUGAAGAGAGUGCCACGCUCUUUGCACGUUAAGAACCCUUGCAACAACUCUUUUAGGGGUCCGUAGGUGGCCUGUUGCAAGGCAAAAUUUCUGUCCCUAUCCAAUAUACCCUCAUUUUCCAGUGGCAGUCCAAAUUUCCCCGACCAUCAUCCUAGAUGGCCUCUAUUACAACAACCUACCUAUUGUAUUUAUUGUGAACUUGUUCUCGUCCUGAAUAUGCAUGAAAUAUUUGCCACUGGACGUUAAGCAACCAACAAUCAAUCAAUCUUA